Molecule: long non-coding RNA, 1113 nt
Filed under: Gallus gallus (chicken)
Lineage: Eukaryota; Metazoa; Chordata; Aves; Galliformes; Phasianidae
Description: lncRNA (ENSGALG00010023021.1)
Source: RNAcentral
ACCAUUUAGCAUCUCAUUAAGUGGGCAGUCUGAAGUGUGCUCAGAGAAAACUUAAAUUCUGCUAUUUGGUUUGUAAUUGUGGCCCUAGGCUUGAUAGGAGGUAGUACCAGGGACUCAUCACUAAGUUCUUACCUAAAGAAGACAUCUGUGAGCCUUGAUAACUUCGUUGGCGUCAAGGUGAGAGAACAAGAAGGAAAUAACAGGAAAACUGGCAAGGAAAGCAGUGCGAGGCUGAGCUUCCUGGUCGCACUCUGCAAACAGGUCACUUCUCAGUCAUGCACCAGCAGGCUGUCAGGAGGAGCAAAGAACUCUGUUGAGCCUUUCACAUGUAAACUAUGGAAACAAAGCAACCUCUCUGAAAUGAAGAGAUGAAACGAGCACAGUGGGGUGGAAGCUCCUCUAACUCAGCAUACUACCUUCUCUUUGCUCCCAUCCCUCUCUUUAGAUCCCCUCCAGGUCCUUCUGUGUGUGAUUUUGUCUGUUUCUUUAGUUCUGAUCAAAGAAAAUGAGAUCCAUUCUUUUUUUGUGGAAUCUAUGACUUUAAGGGGUGUUUAUUUGAGUUUUCUCAGUGGAUUUUUUUUUUUUCUUUUGGUGGUUUGUUAUUGUUUUCCCCAGAAGGCAGACUGUCAGUUAACAGUUAUGUUAACAUCAAACUGAACAAGUCCAUGACAGGAAAAUGCUAGUGUGUCCAUGAACUUUUCCUUACUAAGCUCCUUUACAUCUUCAUGCUGCACAUUGCUGUAACAGCUAAAGCAGAUAACAUCUUGCUGAGUUCUUUGAGUUUUCCUUGAUGCAGCUAAAGAUUUUCAAGAAAUUGCCCUGAAACUUUCUGCCCCUUGCACAAAUUGCCUUGUAUCUAAAGCACAGUUGCCCAGCCUUUUGGCUUGCCUGGGUCACAUUGGGUGAAGAAAUUGUCUUGUACUGCAUAUGAAAUAUAUUCUUAAUGUCUAUAAGUAGCAAAACUUAUUCUAGUUAUUUACUGUUUUUAUAAAAGCACAAAAAAAGAGCAACAAAAAUGUAAAACAAGUGGGAUGUUUGACCUUGGUUGUGUGAAACUAGCACGUCAGUCUGGUUUGAUGGCAGUGGUUGCAAUUCUUAGUGAGUUUCUCCAGG